CGAUAAUACAUAUUUGACUUUACAUCUCAUUCUAAGAAUUUAAGGUUUUUUGUUUUUUAGUGAUCCGUUUCAAAAGGUCUGACAAAGACUGAAUGGAACGAUAGCCGAAGCAACUUCUCCGACAAGAAACAAGGUGGUGGUCAACAAAAAGAUUUCUGGAGCCUUAUCUGUGAUGACAGUUGCCUGCUGUGACCUUUAAGCAACACUAUUAGGAGAGCCGUGAGACUGAACCAGUUGGGCAGAGCGGGAAGAGCGCCAUGCUGUGACCUGCACUGGACAAACACUGACUGACCUCCUGCCAAAAUGUCUCUCUCUCUCUCCGUCCCUCGCUGUCCUUCACUGACUCUCACUCUUGGAAAAGUGCCGUAAAAAGUCACAGAUGUCCUGUUAUUUUCUUCAACUUCCUUUGUGUCUCUUCUUCCACGCCCUCUUCUCCUCCCCUCUUUUCUUCUCCUCUCCACAUCUGGGGAGUGAGCGACCAGAUGUGCGCAGUCAUAGCCGUAGAAUAAAGAAUCUGCAGAAUGACCGGAAACAGAUGCUGAAAUAAUGAAGGGAAACUAGUUAAAUGUGCAAAAGCCACAAAUAAUGGCAGACAACUCCACUAUGGACGUUAGGGUUUUAAAUGGGUGUGAUAUUUUUCUGACCACUAGAUGGUAGAUGACGCCUGUGGUCAGUAUUAAACGGUCCUAUAGUACCUGAGACCUGAAUAUACACUAUCUUUUUGGAAAUUUGAUUGAGACUUUUAUUAGUAGAUUGCACAGUACAGUACAUAUUCUGUACA
Molecule: non-coding RNA, 781 nt
Organism: Nerophis lumbriciformis (worm pipefish)
Lineage: Eukaryota; Metazoa; Chordata; Actinopteri; Syngnathiformes; Syngnathidae
Source: RefSeq, a predicted model, not a curated record